Molecule: long non-coding RNA, 540 nt
Organism: Gallus gallus (chicken)
Lineage: Eukaryota; Metazoa; Chordata; Aves; Galliformes; Phasianidae
Source: Ensembl
GCUCUAUGCAGGCACCUAGUGGGAAAUGAUGUGUUCUGGACUGUGUUGGUGCUGCUGUAUAGUACCACUGACGUGCAGAUGACUUCUGGAAAAGGUUGGCAUGAAAGCAUUGGAGCUUGUGACAGGAAGAGCUGCCGAUCAAGUGACGAGCUGAGAGCUGAGAGCAGAGCCCAGAUCUGUGGAGCAUGGGGCAUCUCUUCUGGGAAGCCCUUGGGUAAAUGAAUCUGCCGCCUACCUUGUGUGCCUUGAUUUUAAUGUGGGCAUUGAGGAGGAGCCAGCUAUCAGAACCGUGGCCAGAGAUGGAUGUGUUGGGAAGCUGCCACUAAUUACUGUGGUGUCUGACAAUUCACUGGUGUUAAGCCUUCCCUUGCAAGUUCUCAGCCAUGCACCCAGAAACAAAAAACAAAGGCGUGGAAAAAGUUCCUGCGUGCUGCUGGACAAAAGUUUUGUGCUGACGCAUGCAGUCCCUGUUAAUGGGGACUGAAGUCGCACUGAAAGAAGAAAAUGCCCCAUUCUGAAGGCUGCUUGGCAGGGAGACAG